This 594-nucleotide ribosomal RNA is filed under the name Salmonella enterica subsp. enterica serovar Enteritidis. RNAcentral describes it as "partial 23S ribosomal RNA". It matches the Rfam family "Bacterial large subunit ribosomal RNA", at positions 614 to 1209 of the family's 2925-position model. Lineage: Bacteria; Pseudomonadati; Pseudomonadota; Gammaproteobacteria; Enterobacterales; Enterobacteriaceae. The record is from RNAcentral.
AAUGGGUCAGCGACUUAUAUUCUGUAGCAAGGUUAACCGAAUAGGGGAGCCGGAGGGAAACCGAGUCUUAAUUGGGCGUUAAGUUGCAGGGUAUAGACCCGAAACCCGGUGAUCUAGCCAUGGGCAGGUUGAAGGUUGGGUAACACUAACUGGAGGACCGAACCGACUAAUGUUGAAAAAUUAGCGGAUGACCUGUGGCUGGGGGUGAAAGGCCAAUCAAACCGGGAGAUAGCUGGUUCUCCCCGAAAGCUAUUUAGGUAGCGCCUCGUGAAUUCAUCUCCGGGGGUAGAGCACUGUUUCGGCUAGGGGGCCAUCCCGGCUUACCAACCCGAUGCAAACUGCGAAUACCGGAGAAUGUUAUCACGGGAGACACACGGCGGGUGCUAACGUCCGUCGUGAAGAGGGAAACAACCCAGACCGCCAGCUAAGGUCCCAAAGUCAUGGUUAAGUGGGAAACGAUGUGGGAAGGCCCAGACAGCCAGGAUGUUGGCUUAGAAGCAGCCAUCAUUUAAAGAAAGCGUAAUAGCUCACUGGUCGAGUCGGCCUGCGCGGAAGAUGUAACGGGGCUAAACCAUGCACCGAAGCUGCGGCAGC